RNAcentral lists this long non-coding RNA (867 nucleotides) under Equus asinus (donkey). Its description in RNAcentral is "lncRNA (ENSEASG00005028034.1)". The record is from RNAcentral. Lineage: Eukaryota; Metazoa; Chordata; Mammalia; Perissodactyla; Equidae.
GCAAGACGCAUGCGUCUUUCCUCCAGCUUCGUAAAGCCCGAAAGCGCAGCUGCUGUGACUGCGCGCUAUCGCGGUUUCGUUGCCUUGGUCUCCCCAGACUUAAAGGAUCGGUGUGUUUGGCUAAUGGAAUACGAAGAUAUGUAAAAAUUAGCCCUGAGCUGACUACUGCCAGUCUUCCUCUUUUUCCUGAGGAAGCCUGGCCCUGAGCUAACAUCGUGCCCAUCUUCCUCUACUUUAUAUGUGGGACGCCUAACACAGCAUGGCGUGCCAAGCGGUGCCAUGUCCACACCCGGGAUCCGAACCGGCGAACCCCGGCCGCCAAGAAGCGGAACGUGCAAACUUAACCGCUGCGCCACCGGGCCAGCCCCAGCAAAUACUUUCCUAGUUGAGUUACAGCUCGAGAAAGCUGAGAACACAGCAAGCCUGGCAGACACGUUGAUUGCAGCUUUGUGAGACUCUAAGCAGAAGACCCUGCUAAGCUACACUUGAACAGCUGACACACAGAAACUGCUAAGCUGCUAAGUUUGUGGCAAUUUGUUAUACAGCAAUAGAUAACUGACACAGUUAUCAUCAACCGUGGAUUGUAUUUAGUACACAGAACUGGAUGAAACCACUUAGGAUAUAAUAUCCAACAACUACCAAUCCAACACUGGUUAUAGAUCACUUUUUAGGCUUUUUUUUUUUUAAUCUAACUGCUGCCUGUAAGCCUAAAUCCAAAUUUUCAGGAAAGAAAAUCUUAUUUGACAAGCUUAGGUGAAAUGUCUACCCAUGAACUGAGUAAAUAUAGCCAGGAAGAAUUCAGGGUGCCUGGAAUAAACUGUUGGCAAGGCCUUCCUCUGUGGGGUGGGGAAGAGGAGUGCCGUGAUC